RNAcentral lists this ribosomal RNA (450 nucleotides) under uncultured bacterium. RNAcentral's name for it is "partial 16S ribosomal RNA". It matches the Rfam family "Bacterial small subunit ribosomal RNA", at positions 354 to 796 of the family's 1533-position model. The record is from RNAcentral.
GUGGGGAAUUUUGGACAAUGGGCGCAAGCCUGAUCCAGCAAUGCCGCGUGCAGGAAGAAGGCCUUCGGGUUGUAAACUGCUUUUGUACGGAACGAAACGGUCCUGGCUAAUAUCCGGGGCUAAUGACGGUACCGUAAGAAUAAGCACCGGCUAACUACGUGCCAGCAGCCGCGGUAAUACGUAGGGUGCGAGCGUUAAUCGGAAUUACGGGGCGUAAAGCGUGCGCAGGCGGUGCUGUAAGACAGGCGUGAAAUCCCCGGGCGCAACCUGGGAAUUGCGCUUGUGACUGCAGUGCUGGAGUGCGGCAGAGGGGGAUGGAAUUCCGCGUGUAGCAGUGAAAUGCGUAGAUAUGCGGAGGAACACCGAUGGCGAAGGCAAUCCCCUGGGCCUGCACUGACGCUCAUGCACGAAAGCGUGGGGAGCAAACAGGAUUAGAAACCCUUGUAGUCC